AUGGGUCUUUAUCUGAGAAAACCAUUUAUGGACAAAGUGAAAGGGAAACAUCUUCCAGAUGUUAAGCAACUGCCGAUGCAUCCAACCAUGGUUAAAACUAUGUUUCGGGUUCCCAUAACUUUCAGUCCUACUAAGGCACGCAUUUUCCUUGAUGACCGAGCCAAUAUUUUUUGGAAUCCUUAUACUCCAAAGAACUUAGUCGGGGUGGAUCAGUUGCAAAGGUCCUUCACCAUUUCUUCACAUCGGGGUAUGCUUCCAUGGAGGUGUGCUACUGAUGUUGAUGAUCUUUGCAUAGCGGAGCCAUAUCAUCCCGAUCGAGUUGCACGGCAACUUACUUUGAGACAACAAGUGCCCUAUGCUCCGUUGGUCAGCGUGUACACAAAGGAGGAUACUGGCGUUGCAUAUGCGUAUUGGUCGCAUUUGUUAUGCUCGGACCAAGGAGAGUUCCAGUACCUUCUUAAUGAUGUGCAUGAGGCAUUUUCUUCUGUGGCCUGGAACAACUGGUGGGUGGGAUUUAUGAAACCAUUUAACAACAUAUUCAAUACUCUUCGUCCGGGCAUCUCGAAUGGUCCGAAUUAUAAUCCGCGGAAACGUAAUUUUCUGAAACGCGGAGAGGAGUACAUAGUUCCUCGCAAGCUUUCAGAGAAUGAUUUUGUUGUUAUAAAGGAAGUCUCCGCCAGGGGUAAGGAGGAACAUAUUGCAGCCAUCAAAUUGAAUGGAAAGAGAAUUAUGGACCACUGGCGUCCCAUUCUGUGUGGCUUUCUCUCAAAUGAUGAACCUUUAAUCAACUGUAAAAAGAAGAAACGAAAGGUUAAGGAUGCUAUCGCUACUCAGUCCAUGACAUCUAAAGAGCAAAGUGGCGUACCAAAGUCUGUUGUUGCAGUUGGUUCUUCCUCUUCUCAUCCAUUGCUCGUGGGUAGUGAUGAUCUUCCGGAAAUUGCCCCGGCCACCGGCGGACAGAAGCGUAGAAAUUUAUCGCCCACUCAUGCUGACGAGGAAGAGAGGCUCCCCCUCAAGCGCAAACUUGAUUUUUCCCAAAAAUAUGAUUUUUCUGAAGCUAUGCCCCAUACCCCUAGUGCUCUUGAUUUCUUGUCAACUUUACCUGGUUGUGACCAAGAAAUUCGCCACUCACAAGACCCUGAGUGA
RNAcentral lists this ribosomal RNA (1146 nucleotides) under Triticum aestivum (bread wheat). Its description in RNAcentral is "partial small subunit ribosomal RNA". The record is from RNAcentral. Lineage: Eukaryota; Viridiplantae; Streptophyta; Magnoliopsida; Poales; Poaceae.